Molecule: long non-coding RNA, 770 nt
Filed under: Malus domestica (apple)
Lineage: Eukaryota; Viridiplantae; Streptophyta; Magnoliopsida; Rosales; Rosaceae
Description: long non-coding RNA (MDOM_LNC020522)
Source: RNAcentral
UUUGUUCUUGCUUUUGAAUAUAUAAAUUUUGCUAGAAAAUUUAGCAUCUCAAAUGUUGUAGAUGUAUUUCAUAUAAGCAUGAAUAUUGGAACUAAAAUUUGGUGCCAUGAGUUUUGGGAAAUUCGGCCAAAUCCUUAGGGUGACUUUUUGGGUUCAUGUUUGUCUUGUUAAAAUGGUUUUAAGGUGACUUUUGGAACCCCUAAGUACCCUAGGAUAUUAGCCCUCUUUUGAGAGGUGAAAAAUUGAGUUUUCAUGGUGUUCUUCAAAUGUUCUUGAAGUUCUUGCCAAGAACAAAAAGGUUUGAAGUUUUGAUUCAAAAGUUUUAUGUUUUUCAUAAAGUUUUGGUUUAAUUUUGAUGGGUGAUGGAUAUUGGUGAGAAGUGAUUAAAAGGAUUUAAUGUUUUGUCAAAACUCAUAAAUGUUUUACAAAAUUUUUUCUUACAAACCAUCAAUUUCACCUCACCCACCAAAAUCAACUUGCAUAUUGCACAUGCAUGCACUAAAACCCUUUCACACUUGUUCACACACCUUUUUGGCUGGCCACCCCUUCAAGUGGGGUACUUUUGGGGCCUUUUGUGCAAUUACAUAAAGUUGUGAAAAUUUUGUGUUUUUGCAUUUUGGCCCAAAAGUUUACGUUUUUACGUUUAGGCUUAAAAACUCUAAAGGACAAACUGUUUUGAUCCUUUAAUGAUGUUUUUACAUUAAUGAAAUUUUGGGUUCUAGUUGAAAUUACAUGAAGUUGUGGACUUUUGUGUUUUUUCAAAGUGACCC